GUACACUCCUACGGGAGGCAGCAGUGGGGAAUAUUGCACAAUGGGCGCAAGCCUGAUGCAGCCAUGCCGCGUGUAUGAAGAAGGCCUUCGGGUUGUAAAGUACUUUCAGCGGGGAGGAAGGCGAUAAGGUUAAUAACCUUGUCGAUUGACGUUACCCGCAGAAGAAGCACCGGCUCACUCCGUGCCAGCAGCCGCGGUAAUACGGAGGGUGCAAGCGUUAAUCGGAAUUACUGGGCGUAAAGCGCACGCAGGCGGUCUGUCAAGUCGGAUGUGAAAUCCCCGGGCUCAACCUGGGAACUGCAUUCGAAACUGGCAGGCUAGAGUCUUGUAGAGGGGGGUAGAAUUCCAGGUGUAGCGGUGAAAUGCGUAGAGAUCUGGAGGAAUACCGGUGGCGAAGGCGGCCCCCUGGACAAAGACUGACGCUCAGGUGCGAAAGCGUGGGGAGCAAACAGGAUUAGAAACCCCAGUAGUCCCAUGAU
This 479-nucleotide ribosomal RNA is filed under the name uncultured organism. Its description in RNAcentral is "partial 16S ribosomal RNA". It matches the Rfam family "Bacterial small subunit ribosomal RNA", at positions 331 to 801 of the family's 1533-position model. The record is from RNAcentral.